Salvia splendens (bonfire salvia) is the source of this 558-nucleotide long non-coding RNA. RefSeq lists it as uncharacterized. The record is from RefSeq and is a predicted model, not a curated record. The transcript has 2 exons. NCBI's taxonomy places the organism in Eukaryota, Viridiplantae, Streptophyta, Magnoliopsida, Lamiales, Lamiaceae.
AUCAUUUUGCCAAAUUAACUUGCGUGACAAAUGUCUAGCUUUAGGCUUUUGGGAUUCUCCUAAUGCUAAGUGUCAAUCAAAAAAAAAGAUGAGGUGUCACAUUGUGUAUCUAAUGCCUAGAAGAGUACUCUAAACACAAGAUCAAUUGCGAUUUGCAAAAUUGAUUUGCUCUAAUUUUCCAUUCUAUAAACGAUCGAUCACACAUAUGUGCUGUCUGUGUAGAUUAAUGGGGAGAUUGGCUGAAGCAGUUUCAGCUGUAGGAAACCUACUGAAAUUGGGAAUUUGAGGCUGCUUUGAGUUUUUCUCUUUUGAAGGAAAUCUUGUUAGCUGAUCGCAACUUGGAAAAUGAAGGCUUGCCAUUGUUUACUUCAUUUUGGAGAUAUAUUGAUAAAAGGAAAACAUGGUAAGGUAGAUAAUGUCUGAUACUUAAUCCAGUUAAGCCAGAAUCUUUACCCCUUGUUCACUACAACAAGCAAAUCUUUACCUUUGUACAAAUUUCCACUCUAUACAUUACUCCAAAAUUCAUUCGAUAUUUUAAUCCUUUUUAUUUCACCAAAA